GACGAACGCUGGCGGCGCGCUUAACACAUGCAAGUCGAACGGAAAGGCCUGCUUUCCCUUGUGGAUUGCGGGUACUCGAGUGGCGAACGGGUGAGUAACACGUGAGUGAUCUGCCCCCAACUUGGGUAUAAGCCUGGGAAACUGGGUCUAAUUCCCGAUAGGACUGCAGGGUGGUGCCUGUGGUGGAAAACGAUUUUCUAGUGGUUGGGGAUGAGCUCGCGGCCUAUCAGCUUGUUGGUGGGGUAAUGGCCUACCAAGGCGGCGACGGGUAGCCGGCCUGGGAGGGUGGACGGCCACAUUGGGACUGAGAUACGGCCCAGACUCCUACGGGCGGCAGCAGUGGGGAAUAUUGCACAAUGGGCGGAAGCCUGAUGCAGCGACGCCGCGUGGGGGAUGACGGCCUUCGGGUUGUAAACUCCUUUCGACCGCGAGGAAGCCACCUGGUUGGAAGGGUGGUGACGGUAGUGGUAGAAGAAGCACCGGCUAACUACGUG
Molecule: ribosomal RNA, 494 nt
Filed under: uncultured bacterium
Lineage: Bacteria
Description: partial 16S ribosomal RNA
Rfam family: Bacterial small subunit ribosomal RNA
Source: RNAcentral